RNAcentral lists this long non-coding RNA (8717 nucleotides) under Erythranthe guttata (spotted monkey flower). RNAcentral's name for it is "long non-coding RNA (EGUT_LNC000023)". Lineage: Eukaryota; Viridiplantae; Streptophyta; Magnoliopsida; Lamiales; Phrymaceae. The record is from RNAcentral.
CACUUCACAGCUAUAGACACUCUAUUCAAUGAAGGAAUUGAGCUUCCGAACGAUGCAACAGUAGGGGCGUUAAGAAGUAUCAUACCUAGAAUUGUGAAGGCUAUCUCUGAUUCCGAAAAAAGUGUCCUUCGCUUUGAGACCCCUGAAUUUAUCGACAGUAAUUCACAUAUCUCUGGCUCCUUUUUCUGUAAUUCUACAUUUGCAAACCGAAAUAUUUGCGUUGAACUGCUACUUCUUGUUAUUGCAGGAGAUAAGUUUGCCUGGUUUAGGGACGCUGAAUUUGCAAGACAAACUCUAGCAGGAAUUAAUCCAUGCGUCAUCAAAUUGGUCACGGUAUGCUCUCCAACUACAUUUUUUUUCUUCUCUAGAUAAAAUACGUAAUCUUGGUAAUUUUCACUUUCUUUUGGUUAGUGUGACAAAUAAUUGGACUUGACGAUUGCUUUGGUAAAACUGAUGAGGAGGAUCAUAUAAUUUUCUCUCUCUCUUAUUAGAAUCAAGUCUCAUUCUUAACUAUAUUUAGCAAGGAAAAUAUUUGGUAGAAACAUACUUCUAAAUAUGACAAAGUAAUCACAGGAAUGGCCAUUGAAGAGUAACCUCGACCCUGAGGUGUACGGGCCAGCUGAAUCAGCAAUCACAACAGAGCUCGUAGAAAAAGAAAUUGGAGGCUGCACGACAGUGGAAAAGGCAUUGGAAGAAAAGAAGCUUUUCAUUAUAGAUUAUCAUGAUGUGUUCUUGCCAUAUGUGAACAAGGUAAGAGAGCUCGAGGGGACAACUCUUUAUGGAUCCAGGACAUUGUUUUACUUAACCUCUGACGGCACAUUGAGGCCUGUUGCAAUCGAGUUAACUCGACCACCAAUAGACGGGAAGCCCCAAUGGAAGCAAGUGUUCAAGCCAACUUGGGAUGCCACUGGUGUUUGGUUGUGGAGGCUUGCAAAGUCUCAUGUCUUGGCUCAUGACUCUGGUUUUCAUGAGUUAGUCACCCACUGGUAAAAGCACUUUUUAUCCCAAAAUUUAUAUUGUCGUACAGCUAAAGGUUGGUUUAUCUUGAAGUUAAAUAAUACUAAAGAGAAAAGAACUCUAAACCGUAGUUCCAACAAGUCUUAUUAUAUGUUCAACAAUUUUGGAGUAGAAUUGAAUGGCCAUAUUUCUGACUCUCAAUUAAUGAAGUCGGAUGGCUCAUCGAAACUUAAAGAUUACCUUGAGAUUGGUCAAUAAAUUCACUCUCAUUUUUGGACAUUUGCAGGUUGCGUAGUCAUGCUUGCACAGAGCCUUACAUAAUUGCAACAAACAGGCAACUAAGUGCAAUGCACCCAAUUUACCGACUGUUGCAUCCUCAUUUACGUUACACGAUGGAAAUUAACGCUUUGGCUCGUGGGGGCCUUAUUAAUGCUGGUGGGAUCAUUGAGCGUGCAUUCUCACCUGGAAAGUAUUCCAUGGAAUUGAGCUCUGUUGCCUAUGACAAACUAUGGCAAUUCAACCUCGAGGGACUACCAGCAGAUUUAAUCAGCAGGUAAAUCAAUUAAUAAAGGUGUUGAAAACGCAUAUAUUGUUGCAGUACGAACUAGGAGCUUCAAUUUAAAAUUAAAAAAAAAUUAAUGGGGUUUGUUUGCAGGGGAAUGGCUGUGGAGGAUCCAACUGCACCUCAUGGUCUGAAACUAACAAUCGAAGACUACCCUUACGCCAAUGAUGGUUUGCUUAUGUGGGAUGCUAUUAAAAAAUGGAUUGCUGACUAUGUUGCUUGCUACUAUCAAGAACCGAGCCUCGUACAAUCAGAUGACGAACUCCAAGCAUGGUGGACAGAGAUUCGAACAGUGGGCCAUGGGGAUAAGAAGGAUGCAACAUGGUGGCCAGAGCUAAAAACUCCCGAAGAUUUGGUUGGAAUUUUGACGACUAUCAUAUGGGUAGCUUCGGGUCAUCAUGCUGCUGUAAACUUUGGUCAAUUUGAUUUCGGUGCAUACUUUCCGAACAGGCCUACCAUUGCUCGAACACAAAUGCCAACUGAAGACCCGAACGAUGAAGCAACGAAACAAUUCAUGGAGAGGCCUGAGGAGUUCCUGCUAAAGAGCUUCCCUUCACAAAUUCAAGCUACAAUAAUUAUGGCCAUUAUUGAUGUACUGUCAACUCAUUCGCCCGAUGAGGAGUAUAUCGGAGAGAAAAUUCAGCCGUAUUGGGCAGAUGAUAAAGUUAUUACGGCUGCAUUUGAACGGUUUAAUGGAAGAAUGAAGGUGAUCGAAGGGAUUAUUGAUGCUAGAAAUGCAGACACGAAUUUGAGGAACAGGGUAGGUGCUGGAGUGGUGCCGUACCAGCUUCUCAAGCCGUUUUCUGAAGCUGGUGUCACCGGAAAGGGUGUCCCGAAUAGUGUUUCUAUUUAAUUACGGGUUUUCGAUCAUCUCUUUUCGUCUUAUUUUUUGUGAUGUACAAGUCCUGCAUUGUCUUUUCUGAACUGCGUUAACGCAUUGUUUAAAUGCUUCAUUUUCAAGAAAAUCAUAUUGAAAAGUAUUAACAAUGUUUUCUUCAUUCUUAGUAGUUUUACUAGGAAGCUUAUGUGCAACUCUUUUUCUUUAUCAUAUUAUUUUUUUCUAAAAAAUAAAUUAUUUAUUUUUCCACAACCUGAUAAAUAUUUUUGGAUUAAAUACACUUUGCACCCCUGAAGUAUAGCAUUUGUAACACUUACGCCUUAAAGUAUCAUUUGAAACGCUUACCCGCCUAACAUCAAUUAUUUUAUGGCGACGGAUAUAUACAAGCCUAUUUUUUUAUUAGUUUCAAAACCACAUAAAGGGGUUUAUUAGUUCAAGCCUCUAAAUUAAUUUAAUUUUAUUACAUCAAGACCAAAGAGGACGAAAAUACCCUUAUCCACAAAUAAUACCCAAAUACAAACAAACUCUAUUUUUAAUUUGUUCAAGACCCAAAAAUCAAAAAAAAAAAAAAAAAAAAAAAAAACACUCUAGACUGCCACCGCAACGCCAACCAGCGAAACUUCCACCACGCUGACGACGACCAGCGACCUACCCACCGCACCACCACCAAAAAGUAAGUCAUUUUUACUAAACUUUUGUUUGUAAAUUCUAAAAUAUUAAUCGAGCAUCGAUUCUUCAUAAAUAUGGGUGGAUGAAUAUUAAUCUAUGCUUAUUUCUUGUUGGGUUGCAAUGCUUUAGCCGAUUUUGGAAAAAAAUUUGAGAUUUGUGUGUUUUCGUUGGUUUCCCAAAUCGGUUUACCCAGACCGAUUUUGUACACAAAAAUCGGCGUCAUAAUGCCGAUUUUUGUUAACUAAAUCGGCGUCACAACGUCGACUUUACAAGUAAAAGCGGCGUUGUAGUGCCGAUUUUUUUUUUUUAAUAUUUUGUGUUUUUAUUUGGUUUUGAAUUCCAUUAAGGGUAAAUUAGUAUUUUUAUGUUGAAGGUCUUGAACUAAUAAAAAAAUGGGCUUGCAUAUAUCCGCCGCUCUAUUUUAUAUUUUAAAAUUGAAACAUAAUAAACAUAACAAUCUAAUAAUUAUUGGAUCAUAAAAUUAACUAAAUUAAAUUAUUGGAAAAGAAUUAAAAUAAAUAUAUAUAUUGUAUAAUAAUGAAUGAAUAUAUAUUUUAAGAAAUAAAUAAACUAAAAUAAACUUAAAAGAUUACUAUUAGUUAAGUAUUGAUUUCUUAAAAUUUAUCGAUAUACAUAUAUUCGAUUAAUUGGUUCAACAACAAUUAGAUAUUAUUUAUUAAAUACGCACCCCACGCAAGAUAAUAUUUUUAAAUUUUAAAAUAUUGCAUUUCUCAAACAAAUAUUUUUAGUUGUAUAGUUUAAUUAUUCUUUUAGUUAUUCAUUAAAUAAAAGAGCAAAUUUUAAGGUAUUAGUAUUUAAAAUACAAAUUAAAUUAUACCUGAGGGAUGUAAGUGUUACAAAUAGUACUUUAAAGGGUAAGUGUUACAGAUAAUAUAAUUUAGGGGUGCAAACUAUAAUUUAUAAAGAAUGAAGCUUCCACCUAACUCGUAAUCCAGCAGCCAUAAGAUAAGACAACUAGUAGAGCCGCCCCGCGGUGUUGUCCAAUUGUCAACGGUCAACCGAAUACAUACAUACAUACAUGUUCAUAUAUAAUAUAUUCGAUCUAUGCAUACAUAUUAAAAUUAUUACAAAGUCCUCUGCAUUUGGUGAAUGUGAUUAGCAUGUUACAAUUUACUAUUCUUAUCUACACGUGCUGGAUCGUGAUUGGUUGAUCACAUACCUGUUUUUUCAAUUUCCCGGCUUUUAAAUUUCUAGUGGGGUUGAAACUUUCGCUCAUACACCUUUUUUUAUUGGAAAAUUAUACAUUUGACCCCCUGUACAUUAUAAUCUAUACAAUUAGUUCCAAAUAACAGUCUACAAAUUAAAAGGCUAAUUAGUGGAAUAUUUACAACUCGAAGUUGAACGAUCUUGUUAAUUUUUUUUUUAAUUCGAGUUAAUUAAUCACAGAAGGUUUGUCUAAUGUGAUUUACGUCUCUCUGUGUGAUUUUAUUGGCUAUUGUUUGCACGUUAUGAGUUCCUCGUUUGGUUCAAAAUUAGAUUUAAAAUAAAAACGUGCUAUUUUGUAAGUAAUUGGUCUUAUCAUGACAACUACACCUAUCUUUAAAUUAGGACAAUAAUAUCCUUUUGCAUUGUCUAUAUAAAAGCAAGGGCUAAAAGUAUUAUUCUUACAUCACCAAAAUACUGAAUCCCACUCUGAUAUCUCUCACAAUAUUCAUCUUUCCUUUAAUUAUAUUGUUUCAUUUUCAAAAUAUCCCAAUAAAAAAAGAAAAAAAAAAUACAAUGUCGAACAACUCCACCUCGACCGGAGUAGUAAAAGCUGCUGCACCAACCACGGUUAAAGCGGUGGUCACUGUGGUGCAGACGGUGACGGGGGCCGUCGGCCGCCUCGGAAUUAGCGGCGUGCUCGAUUUUAUAACCCAGCUGUUCGGUGAAAACCUUGUCAUCGAGCUUGUUGCUGCAGAACUCGAUCCCGGUGAGUAUUUACAUAUAUACACAUACAUAUAUAUAGGUGUAGGUUAUAAUGCUUGCUUGAUAUAUAUUGCAUGAAAAUUAUAUAUAUAUAUAUAUAUAUUUUCUUCGAUCUAAACAUUUAUAAAAGUGUAACUUACAGGCCUCUAUGCUGCUAAAUUUCCGUCGGUAAUCGCAUUUAGCAGCAGAUUUUGAUAGAUUAACAUAAAAUUCCGUCGGUAAAGCCAUGUUUACUUGCAGUGAUUAAUUAUAUUUGUGCAUAGACGAUCGAGUAGUAAAUAGCUUUUUUCCAGAGAAAUUAAUAUAUUGCUAAAAUAAAAUAAGAUUGACCAAUACAUCUUUGCUGCAUUAUAUUACAAAAGAUAUAUUGUUGAUAGGUGCCACAAAAAUAUGUAGGGUAGCCUGCAUAAUAGUGGAUAAUAAUUAUAAAGAUAUAUUAUAAAUUAAUGUUUUGUAUUUGUAUGACUUGGCUUGGAUCGGAAUAUGAUGUUAAUUAUGUCAACAACUUAUAACUUAAUUCAAAUUAAAUUUUUAUUUAAUUUGUAAUCAAAUCAGUGACCAAAUUGAUCUCUCUAUUUUUUUGUGCAAUGAAAAAAAAAACUCGUAAUUAACUAUAUAAGUGCAUUAGUUAAAUCUACACUUUUGUAUAAUAGUUAACCUGAUCUCUUGAUUCAAUCGAGAGUAGUUCAAUAAUCGUCCAUCUAAUCAGUUAUAUGCAAAUUGACUGUACUUUUAAUUAAUUAAGUGAAGUAAUAAUAUAUAAGUUAAUAAUAUAUAAGUUAAUUACAACUUGUAAUUGUUUAAAUAUAAAAUAGCCAAAAACCAGAAAUAUGAUAACAUGCAUGCAUGACCUGUAACUGGAAUAUGCUGUUCUGUCAACAAUUUUUUAUUCAUGAAAUUAAAGUACUAAUGUAUAUAUAUAUAUAUCUAUAUAUAUAUAUAUAUAUAUAUAUAUAUAUAUAUCAUCUAAAGUAUUUAUUUAAAGCUAACUAAAUAAAUUGUUCUUUAAAAGUAUGUAAUUGUUAAAAAAAUAUCGUGAGUCAUAUAACUUUUGAUUGUUUUUUAUGAAUAAAAAACAAAUAUAAUUGCAAUUUGCACACCAAAUAACACAUAUUUCUCGUGUAUGUACAUAUAGUAUAUACACAUAUCUAGGUGUAAUCGCAUCUUACUAUUUAUCACACAGGGAUUAAAUUAAAGUAAAAUAGAAGAUGCCAUGUGAUUUUGGGGAAAAAACAAACUGUUAUAUAUAUAUAUAUAUAUAUAUAUAUAUAUAUAUAUAUAUAUAUAUAUAUAUAUAUAUAUAUAUAUAUAUGUAAUUUCACUUUGCACCUUGGAAAUAUAGCCUUUUGACACUUUGUUUCCGUGAAAAAAAUUAAUAGCGUGUUGCACCAUUAAAAUACAAUAAACCGUUCACUAUACACCCCUUCAUUGAAUAUUAAAACUUGUUGAAGCAAAUUUAAUUUUUUUUGGUUUUUUAUUUUCAUUGUAUAACAUUGAAAUUAUUUUUUUUUCCCAGUGCAAAAUAAAAUUAAAUGACACAUGGGUGUUUGUGUGACUAAGUGUAGAUCUACGAUUCAAAUCCACAUAGUGUAAAUAAUCAUAAUUUCCCAUGCAUUAUGCAUGAUUUAUUAUAUUUCGAGGGUGCAAAGUGCUAUUAUUUUAUUUUUUAGGGUACAAAUUGUUAAAAAGCUAUAUCUCAAGGGUGCCAAGCAAAAUUAAGCCUUAAAAUAUUAAUUACUUUGAAUAUGGCCACACAUUAAUAUUUUUUUCAUCAACAGUUGUCAUUUUCUAAUUAGUCUUUAUGGCCAUGGACCACUUCAAAAAAAUAAUAAAUAAAUAAUAAAUAAAUAAUUAAUCAACUUUGGCGUGCUAGGGUAAGAAAAGUACAAUGGAAGUCCACGAAAAUAUUAAUAAAACUUAAUGAACCUUAAUUAUUGUAUAGCAAUAUGCCACUUGACAUGUGGAAGGGUCAAUUUAAUAGCUAGUAGUAGUUUAAUAUUGUUCACCACUUGGUUAAUUACUUUGUCAAAUUUUAUGAUCUAAUUACUAAUUAAUUAAUCAACAUUAUCUUGUCCCUCUAGUUGUUAUAAUUAUUUAUAUAUUUAUCGUACAAGUAUUAUUUUUUUUUAAUCAAGAUUUAAAUAUUUUUUAAUUUGUUCUAGAAACGGGAUUGGAGAAACCUACCGUAAAGGCUAACGGGAGGAGGUCGGGAAGCGAAGACAGUGAAAUCUACUACAAGGCUAGUUUCAAGAUUCCCGAGAAUUUCGGGGAGAUUGGUGCUAUACUAAUUGAGAAUAAACAUUACCAUGAAAUGUUUAUAAAGAGCAUUGUUCUUAGUGGCUUAUCGAGUACGAGUGCGAGUACGAGUGACUCAGUCAAAUUUAGUUGUAACACGUGGGUUCAUCACAGAUCCGAUGGCCUACAAAAGAGAGUCUUUUUCGCAGACAAGGUUAGUAUUAUAUUGCAUGUUCUUUAUUUAAAAAUUGUAAUGUUAUGGUACUAAACUUGAAGUAAAUUAAAAAUGGUUAAAUUACAUUAUACACCUCUAAAGUAUGUUAAAAUAACUUUUAGGUCCAUGUACUAUAUAUAAUUAUAGUCACAUUUCUGAAACAAUUGCCGGAGCCAAGAUUUCAUGUCCUGGAGACCGAUAUGCACUAUAUUUGUUUCAUGCGGGGCCGUUAAUGAUAUCAUAGAAGAAAAUUGAUAAAUUUUAUGUAAAAUUACCGAUACUGCAGGGACCUUAAAAUUAUUUUAGUAUACUUAAGGGGUGUAAGUGUAAUUUACCCAUUAAAAGAAAAAAAAAAAAAAAGACCAUAAAUAAAUAGUGCAGUUUAAUUGUGUUUGACGGCUGUUGACUUGGAACACUAGGGAAAUUUUAUUUUCGAUUUUUGUGUGGAAUAAAUUUAUGUUAUUUUCGAAAAAAAAUUAAUUAAAAAUAAUAAUCGACAAAUUUGUUAAUUAGUCAUAUUUGCCGCGCGAAACUCCAAAUGGGCUGGAAAGGUACAGACAGAAUGAGCUCGAGGUUGUCCGUGGUGACGGCCAAGGGGAGCGCAAAUCCGCCGAAAGAAUCUACGAUUACGAUGUUUACAACGAUCUCGGCGACCCAGAUUCCGACGCUGAUUUGGCCCGACCCGUUCUCGGAGGCCCCGUCCAUCCCUAUCCUCGCCGCAUCAGAACUGGCCGCCCUAAAACUAAGAAAGGUUAGAGAUUGUUUUCGAUUCUUGCCAUGCACACCAUGUGUUUGUUAAAUUGCCGAGCUAAGUUUUGACGUAGUUUUUUGAUGUAAUUUCAAAAAUGUUUGGAUUCAUCUCAAUUUCGUAUUAUGUAAACCGGCAGAUCCAUUGUCUGAGUCACCGGGAUCCAAUAUGUACGUGCCGAGAGAUGAAGAAUUUUCAGAAAUAAAGAAUCUGCAAUUCUCAGCAGACACUGUAUUCUCAGUCCUUCGUGCACUACUUCCAUCGCUGGAGAGUACGAUCUUAAGCAGUAAUGAAUUCCCACACUUCGCAGCUAUAGACGCUCUAUUCAAUGAAGGAAUUGAGCUUCCGAAUGAUUCAAAAGUAGGGGUGGUAAGAAGUAUUAUACCUAGAAUUGUGAAGGCUAUCUCCAACUCGGGAAAAAGUCUCCUUCGCUUCGAGACCCCUGAAUUCAUCGACAGUAAUUCACAUAUCCCUGCCUCGUUUUUCUGUGUUUCUACAUUUGCAAACUGAAAUCUUUUGCUGGAAAUGGUGCUUUGCGUUGAACUGCUUCUUCUUGUUAUUGCAG